This 1169-nucleotide long non-coding RNA is filed under the name Bos grunniens (domestic yak). RNAcentral's name for it is "lncRNA (ENSBGRG00000008292.1)". Lineage: Eukaryota; Metazoa; Chordata; Mammalia; Artiodactyla; Bovidae. The record is from RNAcentral.
UGGAUGGGUACCAAAGAUGGCACAGUUCAACUCUUUCCUGUGAUGCCUGCUGACCCUUAGCCAAUGGCAAGCCUGCAGGCUGCCCCAAGCCCCGUCCCACCCCUCAUGCCACUUCUCUCUAUUUGACCCUACCCUGCCCAGAAGGGCCAGGCUGGAACAAAUCUGCCCCUGCAGUGCAAGUUCCCAACCUCGCCUCCCGGCAGGAGCCUCCCUGCUUUCAUCAUAACAUGUGAUUUUCUUGGUGUGUCUCCCAUGGGCUUGGUUGGGUAAAAAGGAAAAUCCCCAACGCCCUUAGGAAACUGCAGCUGCCCAUCCCUGUGGAAUCCUUCUCCCCAGUCCAACCUCCUGGAAACAGAGGGGUGACACUGUGGGAGGGCCAGUCGCAUCCCCUGAGCAAGUCCUGAAGAGGUUACUGAGGUCCCUCUUCAGAACACGGGGCGGUCGGCAAUUAUUCACCCCAGGUCUGCACCCCGGGUGUCAAUUCUGGGGCAAAUGAAGACGUCCCUUCCAAUGUCCUGUCACACGUAUAAUCCCGCCCCCAUUUGCUGACAGGUGCUGCAGAGGAAGUGUGGAGAAUGCACUGGUCCCACCUGGGGUGCCCCAAGGAAGUGACUUUCACAGGCCACAUCAAGAGAGCAUCCUGAGCCAAGGUUGUGAAGCAGGAGGGAGUGUGGCACGUUGGGGAGAUGGAAAGGCCUGUGUGUUUGGGGCAGCGAGACUGAGCGAAAGGUUACAGGGACGAGUCUGGGAUGGUGGCAGCAACCGUGGCAGCAGCACCGAUAUUUAUAGCUCGCUUGCCUUUUAUAGCACUUCUUGCCUAACAAUCACAAGAGGAAAUGAUUAUUAUCUCUCUUUUAGGGAAGGAAAUGGCAACCCACUCCAGUAUUCUUGCCUGGAGAAUUCCAUGGACAGAGGAGCAUGGUGGGCUACAGUCCACAGGGUCGCAAAGAGUCAGACACGACUGAGCGACUCACACUUCCACUUGCAUCUUGCUCAGAGAAGUGAGGCAACUUUCCUGAGAUCACACAGCAGGGCUCCUGUAGAGAGGCCUGACCCAGCCAGCCAGCUGGACAUGCAACCAUCACCAAGAGAAAGGACCCACUCCAGACUGCUGGCCAGAGAGGUAAGAGGGAAUGUGUAAAUUCUCUAAGUAACAAGAAAUCUAUCAA